UAAAUUCCCAGAACAAUGAUGUGAAGGGUUCCUACUCAAGCUUCAUAUUGAAGCUGCAAAAAUAUAACGUAAUCUAUUUUACAUACUGUUUCCUUUAACUCCAGUAAAUCGUUGCAGCAUUUUCAGAAAUUAUUCUCGUUGAUAUCGAAUCCGUCUCAUUGACUCGCAGCCCGGUGGCGGUUUUUUUUCUUGAGGCGUCUCAGCAAGAACUCAUCUUUCCCGUGUUUUGUGGGGAAAAUCAUUUAUUUUGUAGAAGCCAGGCGAAGCUUCAGUGCAGCUGCAACUCUGUCAUGGAGCCCAAAAGUUUCCAAAACUCCCUCCUGCAUAAAAAGUCAGCGUCAAACCCACGCCACCAAAAACUACAGGCGUACACCUCCACAACCAGCCCACACCAGCACCCCCACCAGCACCAGCAAGGCGGCGUGGACUUCAAAAGAGAGCGACUGGCGUGAGACCAAAGUCAAACGACAGCUCCGCGCUCAACCGGCCAUCAUGGCUGCUUCUUUACCUCUGUCCUCUCGCUCAGUGGCUUCAAUGAAUGGAAACUGCUGCGGUUAGGAGAUAAAUGUGUUUACAUGACUUCUGCUGGUGACCUCUGACCUCUGACCUCUGAAGGUGUUAAGCUCUAGUCUGAUGCUCUUAUCUACAUGAAGGUUACACUUGUUUGAUUUCUGCAGAGGUGUAAAGAUGUAACUGGAUCAGUGGGAAUGAAGCUGGAUCACAAAAUACAUCAAAUAUUCUAUCUCCC
Long non-coding RNA from Hippoglossus stenolepis (Pacific halibut), 748 nucleotides. RefSeq lists it as uncharacterized. NCBI's taxonomy places the organism in Eukaryota, Metazoa, Chordata, Actinopteri, Pleuronectiformes, Pleuronectidae. The record is from RefSeq and is a predicted model, not a curated record. The transcript has 3 exons.